Molecule: ribosomal RNA, 232 nt
Filed under: uncultured bacterium
Lineage: Bacteria
Description: partial 16S ribosomal RNA
Rfam family: Bacterial small subunit ribosomal RNA
Source: RNAcentral
UACGAAGGGGGCUAGCGUUGCUCGGAAUUACUGGGCGUAAAGGGAGCGUAGGCGGAUAGUUUAGUCAGAGGUGAAAGCCCCGGGCUCAACCUGGGACGGCGCGCGAGACGGGGGGGCUGGAGUUCGGGAGAGGAGCGUGGAAUUCCCAGUGUAGAGGUGAAAUUCGUAGAUAUUGGGAAGAACACCGGUGGCGAAGGCGGCGCUCUGGACCGAGACUGACGCGAGGCGCGAA